AAACGAUCUCGUUAUGGCGAGGCUACCUAAUAAACAAAAGUUACUGCCGUACUUGCAUGGAGACAAGCUUGUAUUGGUAAAACAUGUAUGAUCGAAUUAAGGUCUUACAAAAGUAACUUUCCGCUUGGAAUACGUUGUUAGAAGCUAAAACCUAAACGUUGGGAUCCAUU
Molecule: small RNA, 170 nt
Filed under: Arsenophonus endosymbiont of Trialeurodes vaporariorum
Lineage: Bacteria; Pseudomonadati; Pseudomonadota; Gammaproteobacteria; Enterobacterales; Morganellaceae
Description: ykoK
Rfam family: M-box riboswitch aptamer (ykoK leader)
About the family: M-box riboswitch, also know as ykoK leader is described as a metaloregulatory RNA that sense divalent metals and function as a genetic control element of genes related to divalent metal transport in bacteria.
Source: RNAcentral